RNAcentral lists this non-coding RNA (24 nucleotides) under Cricetulus griseus (Chinese hamster). Lineage: Eukaryota; Metazoa; Chordata; Mammalia; Rodentia; Cricetidae. The record is from RNAcentral.
CCCUCACUGAGUGAGCCACAGUAG